UACGUAGGGGGCUAGCGUUGUCCGGAAUCAUUGGGCGUAAAGAGCGCGUAGGCGGCUAGAUAAGUCCGGUGUGAAAGUCACAGGCUCAACCUGUGAAUGCCGCUGGAAACUGUCUGGCUAGAGUCCGGAAGGGGCGAGUGGAAUUCCUGGUGUAGCGGUGAAAUGCGCAGAUAUCAGGAAGAACACCCGUGGCGAAGGCGGCUCUCUGGGACGGUACUGACGCUGAGGCGCGAAAGCGUGGGGAGCGAACAGG
RNAcentral lists this ribosomal RNA (253 nucleotides) under uncultured bacterium. RNAcentral describes it as "partial 16S ribosomal RNA". It matches the Rfam family "Bacterial small subunit ribosomal RNA", at positions 524 to 776 of the family's 1533-position model. The record is from RNAcentral.